GAUUAACGCUGGCGGCGUGCAUAACACAUUCAAGUCGAACGGACAGUAGAAAUACUGUUAGUGGCGGACGGGUGAGUAACGCGUGAGCAAUCUACCUCCAGGUGAGGGAUAACAACCGGAAACAGUUGCUAAUACCUCAUGAAAUGGCAGUACCGCAUGGUACAACCAUCAAAGGCUUGCUGCCUGGAGAUGAGCUUGCGUCUGAUUAGAUAGUUGGUGGGGUAACGGCUCACCAAGUCGACGAUCGGUAGCCGGACUGAGAGGUUGAACGGCCACAUUGGAACUGAGAUACGGUCCAGACUCCUACGGGAGGCAGCAGUGGGGAAUAUUGGGCAAUGGGCGAAAGCCUGACCCAGCGACGCCGCGUGAACGAGAAGCCCUUCGGGGUGUAAAGUUCUGUCAGUAGGGACGAACGGAUGACGGUACCUACAGAGGAAGCACCGGCUAACUCCGUG
RNAcentral lists this ribosomal RNA (455 nucleotides) under uncultured bacterium. RNAcentral describes it as "bacterial SSU rRNA". It matches the Rfam family "Bacterial small subunit ribosomal RNA", at positions 28 to 507 of the family's 1533-position model. The record is from RNAcentral.